CCGCAACGAGCGCAACCCUUAUCCUUUGUUGCCAGCGAUUAGGUCGGGAACUCAAAGGAGACUGCCAGUGAUAAACUGGAGGAAGGUGGGGAUGACGUCAAGUCAUCAUGGCCCUUACGACCAGGGCUACACACGUGCUACAAUGGCGCAUACAAAGAGAAGCGACCUCGCGAGAGCAAGCGGACCUCAUAAAGUGCGUCGUAGUCCGGAUUGGAGUCUGCAACUCGACUCCAUGAAGUCGGAAUCGCUAGUAAUCGUGGAUCAGAAUGCCACGGUGAAUACGUUCCCGGGCCUUGUACACACCGCCCGUCACACCAUGGGAGUGGGUUGCAAAAGAAGUAGGUAGCUUAACCUUCGGGAGGGCGCUUACCACUUUGUGAUUCAUGACUGGGGUGAAGUCGUAACAAGGUAACCGUAGGGGAACCUGC
Molecule: ribosomal RNA, 428 nt
Filed under: Salmonella enterica subsp. enterica serovar Newport
Lineage: Bacteria; Pseudomonadati; Pseudomonadota; Gammaproteobacteria; Enterobacterales; Enterobacteriaceae
Also listed under: 1 other name
Description: bacterial SSU rRNA
Rfam family: Bacterial small subunit ribosomal RNA
Source: RNAcentral